GUCAGCGGCAGACGGGUGAGUCACGCGUGGGAACGUACCUUUUGGUUCGGAACAACACAGGGAAACUUGUGCUAAUACCGGAUCAGCCCUUACGGGGAAAGAUUUAUCGCCGAAAGAUCGGCCCGCGUCUGAUUAGCUAGUUGGUGAGGUAAUGGCUCACCAAGGCGACGAUCAGUAGCUGGUCUGAGAGGAUGAUCAGCCACAUUGGGACUGAGACACGGCCCAAACUCCUACGGGAGGCAGCAGUGGGGAAUAUUGGACAAUGGGCGCAAGCCUGAUCCAGCCAUGCCGCGUGAGUGAUGAAGGCCCUAGGGUUGUAAAGCUCUUUUGUGCGGGAAGAUAAUGACGGUACCGCAAGAAUAAGCCCCGGCUAACUUCGUGCCAGCAGCCGCGGUAAUACGAAGGGGGCUAGCGUUGCUCGGAAUCACUGGGCGUAAAGGGUGCGUAGGCGGGUCUUUAAGUCAGGGGUGAAAUCCUGGAGCUCAACUCCAGAACUGCCCUUGAUACUGAGGAUCUUGAGUUCGGGAGAGGUGAGUGGAACUGCGAGUGUAGAGGUGAAAUUCGUAGAUAUUCGCAAGAACACCAGUGGCGAAGGCGGCUCACUGGCCCGAUACUGACGCUGAGGCACGAAAGCGUGGGG
RNAcentral lists this ribosomal RNA (640 nucleotides) under Bradyrhizobium sp. Cs157. RNAcentral's name for it is "bacterial SSU rRNA". It matches the Rfam family "Bacterial small subunit ribosomal RNA", at positions 91 to 766 of the family's 1533-position model. Lineage: Bacteria; Pseudomonadati; Pseudomonadota; Alphaproteobacteria; Hyphomicrobiales; Nitrobacteraceae. The record is from RNAcentral.